UCUCUCUAUAAUAUUAAGCAAAAGUCAAAAGUCUUUACAAUGAAAAGUAUUCUCCUAUUUAUACUAAUGAGUAAAAACGUCCAAAAUCCAUCAAAUUAUGGUAAUAAUUUGAUUUCAUAAGAAUUCUAUCGAAACUAGGACAUUCGGCCAAAAUUGGAAAAUUCCCCAAAUUUUUGGCUUGUGCGGCUGCAUGGUGUAUUUCCAUGCGAUCGCAUGGUUCAACAAGAAUUGAUGUUUUGAUUUUCGGUAUGCCACCGUGCGGCCGCAUGGUGUUUUGCUUGUGCAGCCACACAGGCUUAUUUUCAGCCUCCAGUUUCGUCGCUUGAUAACAAAUUGAUCCAAGUUGAUUCGGUCUUUGACCCGAACAUGAAAGUUGCUCCAUUUUGAGUCUCGAACAUGGUUCCAUCAAUGGUUUCUUGAAUGAGAAAUCCCAUCGCUUGUUUCACUUGCUUUGCCCUUGAUCGCGUCAUUGGUCCGCCAUCGACUAUCAAAGGGUCUCGUCUCGCACUUGCCUUCGUUGGGCUCGACUCCUGGAUCAUAUCAUUCGCCCUCCAUGCUACGCAGUCGGUCCCAAGUGUCGUUCACUCUUAUCUGUAUUCCAUCCACUCUUCCCACAUAUAUGCUCUGUCGCUCGUUCAUGGUUUCCAUCUCUCUCAUUGCUGAUCGGGCCUCCUGAUAUGCAAACUGUGCCAUGUUUUGAGUAGUAUUGAUAUCACGUCAGGCUGUCUGUAUGUCAGUCAUCAAAUCCCCUAGAGCUUGCUGGAUUCCCUCUAUAUCGCGGCUAGUUCUUGUUAGAGUUAUAGACAUCUGACACAGUACCUGUGUAUCAGCUCCCAUCUGUGGUG
Molecule: long non-coding RNA, 845 nt
Filed under: Olea europaea subsp. europaea
Lineage: Eukaryota; Viridiplantae; Streptophyta; Magnoliopsida; Lamiales; Oleaceae
Source: RNAcentral